Cajanus cajan (pigeon pea) is the source of this 493-nucleotide non-coding RNA. The record is from RefSeq and is a predicted model, not a curated record. Lineage: Eukaryota; Viridiplantae; Streptophyta; Magnoliopsida; Fabales; Fabaceae.
UCUUUGUUUUUAUGCUUCCUUUUGUAUGUGAUUUCUAUUAUGUGAAAAGUGGAAGAGCGAACAUUUUCAGAAAAAGUUCAGUCAUUAUUCACGGAAUUUCUAUACAAAGUUAACAGUAUAAAAUCGACCUGAAUUAAUUAGUGUUUUCAUUGAUGUUUAUUUCUAAUGAACAAAAAAAAAUGGCAGGUCCAUCCAAACGUUCCCUGCAUGCUGUUUACCCCAAUCUGUCCACAUUCGCUCUCAUUUAGACCAGUUAUACUUCCAGAUUCUGCUCAACUUGAAUUAAAGAUUCCAGAGAACGCAAGAAGCAACGCCUGGGUUUCAUUUGAUGGAAAGAGAAGGCAGCAACUUUCAAGAGGAGAUUCGGUUCGAAUAUCUAUGAGUCAGCGCCCGCUUCCAACAGUUAAUAAGUUUGACCAAACAGGUGAUUGGUUUCAUAGCUUGAUUCGCUGCCUAAAUUGGAAUGAAAGGCUUGAUCAGAAGGCCCUAUAAA